This 343-nucleotide unclassified non-coding RNA is filed under the name soil metagenome. RNAcentral describes it as "partial contains 5.8S ribosomal RNA, internal transcribed spacer 2, and large subunit ribosomal RNA". The stretch from base 1 to 120 matches the Rfam family "5.8S ribosomal RNA", at positions 35 to 154 of the family's 154-position model. The record is from RNAcentral.
GAUGAAGAACGUAGCGAAACGCGAUAAGUAAUGUGAAUUGCAGAAUCCAGUGAAUCAUCGAAUCUUUGAACGCACAUUGCGCCCGCCAGCAUUCUGGCGGGCGUGCCUGUUCGAGCGUCAUUUCAACCCUCGACCUCCCCUUGGGGAGGUCGGCGUUGGGGACCGGCAGCACACCGCCGGCCCUGAAAUGGAGUGGCGGCCCGUCCGCGGCGACCUCUGCGCAGUAAUACAGCUCGCACCGGGACCCCGACGCGGCCACGCCGUAAAACACCCAACUUCUGAACGUUGACCUCGAAUCAGGUAGGACUACCCGCUGAACUUAAGCAUAUCAAUAAGCGGAGGA